CUUAGUGGCGAACGGGUGAGUAACGCGUGAGUAACCUGCCCUGGAGUGGGGGACAACAGUUGGAAACGACUGCUAAUACCGCAUAAGCCCACGAUCCGGCAUCGGAUUGAGGGAAAAGGAUUUAUUCGCUUCAGGAUGGACUCGCGUCCAAUUAGCUAGUUGGUGAGGUAACGGCCCACCAAGGCGGCGAUCAGUAGCCGACCUGAGAGGGUGACCGGCCACAUUGGGACUGAGACACGGCCCAAACUCCUACGGGAGGCAGCAUG
This 266-nucleotide ribosomal RNA is filed under the name uncultured bacterium. RNAcentral's name for it is "partial 16S ribosomal RNA". It matches the Rfam family "Bacterial small subunit ribosomal RNA", at positions 91 to 353 of the family's 1533-position model. The record is from RNAcentral.